This is a long non-coding RNA of Sciurus carolinensis (gray squirrel), 396 nucleotides long. RefSeq lists it as uncharacterized. The transcript has 3 exons. The record is from RefSeq and is a predicted model, not a curated record. NCBI's taxonomy places the organism in Eukaryota, Metazoa, Chordata, Mammalia, Rodentia, Sciuridae.
GGGAAGGAGAACAGAAGACUGCUGUUUAGAGCAUUUAGUUUUACAGCAAAACCGAGCAAAAGUGAAGAGAUUCCCACGUGCCUCCCUGCUCCCCCACCCAAAACCUCCUCCCCGAUCUGCAUCUCCCACCAGUGGUCAACCAGGUGCCAUCAGCUGACGUGAUUGACAUGUCACUAUCAUACAGGAAUGAAGUUCUGAUACAUGCUAGGACAUAGGUGAACCCUGAAAACAUUACACCAAGUGAAAGAAGCCACAUACGCAGGACAAAUAUCGGUUCCCCUCACAUGAAGGACCUAAGCUUUUAAAACCAGGCAGGUUAGAACCACAGGCACUGCGUUUUUCUCCACUGGGGCAGCACACAGACAAGUCCAAGUUCAUCCCACAGCUUCGCCCCGC